UUGGAGGGCAAGUCUGGUGCCAGCAGCCGCGGCAAUUCCAGCUCCAAUAGCGUAUAUUAAAGUUGUUGCAGUUAAAAAGCUCGUAGUUGAAUUUCGGGAUCAAUUUGCUGGUCGUGCCUUGGUACGCACUGGCAUUAUUGGUUCCUAUCUUCUGAAAAACCGCGAUUGUCAUUAAUUUGGUGUCAUGGGGAAUCAGGACUGUUACUUUGAAAAAAUUAGAGUGUUUAAAGCAGGCGCACGCUUGAAUACAUUAGCAUGGAAUAAUGAAAUAGGACGUUCGAUCCUAUUUUGUUGGUUUCUAGGAUUGACGUAAUGAUUAAUAGGGAUAGUUGGGGGCAUUAGUAUUCAAUUGUCAGAGGUGAAAUUCUUGGAUUUAUUGAAGACUAACUACUGCGAAAGCAUUUGCCAAGGAUGUUUUCAUUAAUCACCAACGAAAGUUAGGGGAUCGAAGACAAUCAGAUACCGUCGUAGUCUUAACCAUAAACUAUGCCGACUAGGGAUCGGAUGAUGUUAAUUUUUUAAUGACUCAUUCGGCGCCUUACGGGAAAC
Molecule: ribosomal RNA, 549 nt
Filed under: uncultured Glomeraceae
Lineage: Eukaryota; Fungi; Glomeromycota; Glomeromycetes; Glomerales; Glomeraceae
Description: SSU rRNA
Rfam family: Eukaryotic small subunit ribosomal RNA
Source: RNAcentral